Molecule: ribosomal RNA, 253 nt
Filed under: uncultured bacterium
Lineage: Bacteria
Description: partial 16S ribosomal RNA
Rfam family: Bacterial small subunit ribosomal RNA
Source: RNAcentral
UACGAAGGGGGCUAGCGUUGUUCGGAAUUACUGGGCGUAAAGCGCGUGUAGGCGGGUAUUUAAGUCAGGGGUGAAAGGCCAAGGCUCAACCUUGGAACUGCCUUUGAUACUGGAGAUCUUGAGUGCGGGAGAGGUGAGUGGAAUUGCGAGUGUAGAGGUGAAAUUCGUAGAUAUUCGCAAGAACACCAGUGGCGAAGGCGGCUCACCGGCCCGGUACUGACGCUGAGGUGCGAAAGCGUGGGGAGCAAACAGG